GACGAACGCUGGCGGCGUGCUUAACACAUGCAAGUCGAACGGAAAGGCUCCAGCUUGCUGGAGUACUCGAGUGGCGAACGGGUGAGUAACACGUGGGUAAUCUGCCCUUCACUCUGGGAUAACCCUGGGAAACUGGGUCUAAUACCGGAUAUGACCUUCUUCCUCAUGGGGUUUGGUGGAAAGUUUUUCGGUGUAGGAUGAGCCCGCGGCCUAUCAGCUUGUUGGUGGGGUGAUGGCCUACCAAGGCGACGACGGGUAGCCGGCCUGAGAGGGUGAUCGGCCACAUUGGGACUGAGAUACGGCCCAGACUCCUACGGGAGGCAGCAGUGGGGAAUAUUGCACAAUGGGCGGAAGCCUGAUGCAGCGACGCCGCGUGAGGGAUGACGGCCUUCGGGUUGUAAACCGCUUUCAGCAGGGACGAAGCGUAAGUGACGGUACCUGCAGAAGAAGCACCGGCUAACUAUGUG
Molecule: ribosomal RNA, 467 nt
Filed under: uncultured bacterium
Lineage: Bacteria
Description: partial 16S ribosomal RNA
Rfam family: Bacterial small subunit ribosomal RNA
Source: RNAcentral